GAGGCGAAUCUAUGACACCAUGAAUAUAUCAAAAUGCUGGCUGAGAAGAUGACUCUCAGUCUGCAGAAGAAGAAAACUCCAGCAGGAUCCACAGGACACGACAACAAAGACAAAACUAUGACCUGCAACGUGUGUCACUAAGCAACAGAGCACCUUUGUAUAUCACAGAGAAAGGUAGGAACACAAAACAGGAAGAAGCUUAAAUGUUUGCAGUGGACAGGAAAUGUGAACACGUCACACAACUGCUGUGGUCAAAGCUACAGGAGCUGUUUGAGGUUGGUGUAAAAGGAAGGAAGCACAGAGAGGUGAUAGAAGGAGGAGCUGAAUAUAAACUCUGGUCUUAUCUACAUUAAGUGCAGCUUCUCUUUGUUCUGCAUUUAUUAUCAAUGCAAAGUCGAACACUUUGAGAUUAGAUGCAGAUCAGCGUGCAGGGCUGGACGUGAGGAUGGGGCACUCUUUGCUCUGUUUGCUGGGGUUAUUCUUGCUCAGUACAGUCAUCCAUGGAAACACUGAAGAACUUGGAGUGAAGGCCACUCUGACAGCAGACAGAUUAACCAUACCAGCAGGGGGCAGUGUGACACUGACCUGUGAUGUAAAACACUCUGCUGACUUUGAAUAUGAGUGGUUCA
Oreochromis niloticus (Nile tilapia) is the source of this 629-nucleotide long non-coding RNA. RefSeq lists it as uncharacterized. NCBI's taxonomy places the organism in Eukaryota, Metazoa, Chordata, Actinopteri, Cichliformes, Cichlidae. The transcript has 3 exons. The record is from RefSeq and is a predicted model, not a curated record.